Sapajus apella (tufted capuchin) is the source of this 473-nucleotide long non-coding RNA. RefSeq lists it as uncharacterized. NCBI's taxonomy places the organism in Eukaryota, Metazoa, Chordata, Mammalia, Primates, Cebidae. The record is from RefSeq and is a predicted model, not a curated record. The transcript has 2 exons.
CCUCCCUUCUAGAUCCACAUUAGUCCAACUCCCCAGAUUCCCCUGUCUGCUAUCCCUAAGCCAGCCCACAGGCCCGCCCCAGAGGAGCACCCCGUUGGCCCUGUUUGCCGGGUGAGCUCAAAGCUUGCACAGCAGCCCACCUCACUUUGGCCUUGACCUCUGUGGGGCUCUCCAUCAGUGACAGGCAACGACAGAUGAAUGGCUCGGCUGUGAAAUGAAACCAGGGGAGAGAAGGAAGCUGCACCACAGGAGGGCUUCUCAGUGCCUCUGCCACCGCACAAGUGCCCAGGGAGAAGCGGGAGGGGAUCCCAGGAAAAGCAGACCCGAAGGGCGGGCCAGGGCACAGCAGUUACAGGAAGACCCAUAGAGACAGAAUGUGGGACCCUUGGAGAGCUGGGCCCAAGCUGGCAACCAAAAGACUGUUGUUUUCCAAACUCCAUCGGAAAGUUUGAAAAAUAUGCGUGGAAAAGUGA